AUGUUGGUCUCUUUCAUUGGACGUUUAGUGGUAGCAGUAGCUACCACUUGCGGGAGCGGCUGCUUCCCCUUCCCUCACGUGCUCUUCGCCCGCGGCCUGCGCACACGCCCAUCUUGGGCCCGCGCCCCGGGCCUGCCUGGGGGCGCCCGGCGGCUUCGAAUUCACCCACGUGUGCGGCGAGGGCGCCGUCGAGGAUUAUCUGGUAAUCGUGAGUUGUUUUGUUUUCCAGCAACGAAGGUUUUGGGAACAGUAAAAUGGUUCAAUGUAAGAAACGGAUAUGGUUUCAUCAACAGGAAUGACACCAAGGAAGAUGUGUUUGGACACCAGACUGCAAUAAAGAAGAAGAACCCCAGGAAGGACCUUCGCAGUGUAGGAGAUGGAGAGACAGUGGAGUUUGAUGUUGUUGAAGGAGAAAAGGGUGCGGGGGCAGCACAUGUUACAGGCCCUGGUGCAGUUCCGGUUCAAGGCAGGAAAUACGCAGCAGACCGUAACCAUUAUAGACGCUGUCCACGUCGUAGGGGUUCUCCACGCAAUUACCAGCAGAAUUACCAGAACAGUGAGAGUGGGGACAAGAAUGAGGGAUCGAGAGCGCUCCCGGAGGCCAGGCCCAACAACGCCGGCCCUACCGCAGGCGAAGGUUCCCACCUUGCUACAUGCGGAGACCCUAUGGGCGUCGGCCACAGUAUUCCAACCCACCUGUGCGGGGAGAAGUCAUGGAGGGUGCUGACAACCAGGGUGCAGGAGAACCAGGUAGACCAGUGAGACAGAAUAUGUAUCGAGGUUAUAGACCACGAUUCCGCAGGGGACCUCCUCGCCAAAGACAGCCUAGAGAGGACGGCAAUGAAGGGGAUAAGGAAAAUCAAGGAGAUGAGACCCAAGGUCAGCAGCCACCUCAACGUCGGUACCGCCGCAACUUCAAUUACCGACGCAGACGCCCAGAAAACCCUAAACCACAAGAUGGCAAAGAGACAAAAGCAGCCGAUCCACCAGCUGAGAAUUCGUCCGCUCCUGAGGCUGAGCAGGGCUGGGCUGAGUAAAUGCCGGCUUAACAUCUCUACCAUCAUCCGGUUUAGUCAUCCAACAAGAAGAAAUGAAUAUGAAAUUCCAGCAA
Molecule: RNA transcript, 1111 nt
Organism: Galeopterus variegatus (Sunda flying lemur)
Lineage: Eukaryota; Metazoa; Chordata; Mammalia; Dermoptera; Cynocephalidae
Gene name: nuclease-sensitive element-binding protein 1 pseudogene
Exons: 3
Source: RefSeq, a predicted model, not a curated record